GCAUAGCUCACUUUCUUGAGCAACCCUGUGUCCCCGCACCCCGCUCCUCUUCUUUCGGGUUCUAGGCAGCCGUGGGCGCUGCGACCCUUCUCUCACUGUCAGAGGGGCGGGAGCUCUCGGCCUGCGCCGCCUCCGCUGCCUGCUUGGUCGCGGGCUUGCCGGGAAUGGUGACAGCCCGGGCCCCCUCUUGGCCAAAGAAGUCCUCGAAAGCGUUCGGCGCACGGGCUUUGUCCAGCUUUUUAAACCGUAACAAGGACCGGGGCCGGGCGCGGUGGCUCACGCCUGUAAUCCCAGCAUUUUGGGAAGUCGAGGCGGACGGAUUACUUGAGGUCAUGAGUUCGAGACCAGCCUGGCCAACACGAUGGAGUCUUGCUCCCAUGCUGGAGUGCAGUGGCGUGAUCUCGGCUGACUGUAACCUCCGCCUCCCGGGUUCAAGUGAUUCUCCUGCCUCAGCCUCCGGAGUAGCUGGGAUUACAGGUGCCCGGCUAAUUUUUGUAUUUUUAGUAGAGACAGGGUUUCACCAUGUUGGCCAGGCUGGUCCCGAACUCCUGACCUCAGGUCAUCCUCCUGCCUCAGCCUCCCAAAGUGUUGGGAUUACAGGCACGAGCCACUGAACCCGGCCAAAAUUUGAAUUUCAGAGAAACAACAAAUACUUUUUAGUAUAAACAUGUCCCAAAUAUUGCAUGGAAUAUACAAAGUACAUAUUUGUUGUUUCUGUGAAAUUGGAUUUAACUGGACACCCUGUAUUUUUAUUUUCCAAAUUGCAAGUCACUUGUACAUCAUAUCCUUGCACCCCUCUGAACCCUAUGCACCACCUUCCCCACCCCAGCAAAGAUAUCCAGACGCUGUAUGCAGGAAGAACUGAAUUUCAGAGGACACCGUUUGAUCUUCAACACCUGGCAGUUUACAAAACAGGAGUCCCAGCUGAGAACUCAAACUGGUAGAAGGAAGAUUAUUUUUCCUUCUCUAUAGGUGCUUGGAGGUAACGAGGGGAAAGGAGUUGAAAGGAAGGUGACAUUUCAGGUGGGCACCUGGGAUGGAGGCAAGGAAUCACGAAGUGGCGUCUCCUCGGAAGGGGCAGCCUGAUGUCUUUAACCACUGAACUGUGGUUUCCAACUGGAUGCGCUUUGGGUUCAGGGCUAAGACACGCGUAGGCGGUGCAGACAGUUCAAUUCGUGGGCGGCUUUUUCUCUCCCCUGCGCGGUUUUGCAGAACUGAGGAUUCACGUUUGCCACGCAGUCUCUAAAUCCUCCUCCCAGCCCUCGCCGGAUUUCUGCAUCGGAAUUGGAUUGGAUCACACACAAAAGAAGAGCCCAGGAACUCGUUCACCACCUUGCACCUUGCCUGUUAGUUCACGGCAUAAUGGUAACAGAGUCUUCAUUAAUGGAAGCAACGUUACUACCGUGAGCCCGGAUAGCUCAGUCGGUAGAGCAUCAGACUUUUAAUCUGAGGGUCCAGGGUUCAAGUCCCUGUUCGGGCGGUAUCUUUUUUUUCCUCAUUAAAAGAGUAAGAACCAAUUUUAGGAUCUUUUGUUUGUUAACACACUGCAAAAGAAGGGAAUAAAGUCCUGGAUUGUGUAAACUGCGACCCCAAACACUUCUCGGAGGGUAAGCCCUCU
This 1618-nucleotide long non-coding RNA is filed under the name Homo sapiens (human). Its description in RNAcentral is "non-protein coding lnc-OSBP-1:3". The stretch from base 1408 to 1480 matches the Rfam family "tRNA". The record is from RNAcentral. Lineage: Eukaryota; Metazoa; Chordata; Mammalia; Primates; Hominidae.